This is a long non-coding RNA of Notolabrus celidotus (New Zealand spotty), 782 nucleotides long. RefSeq lists it as uncharacterized. Lineage: Eukaryota; Metazoa; Chordata; Actinopteri; Labriformes; Labridae. The record is from RefSeq and is a predicted model, not a curated record. The transcript has 4 exons.
GUGUUGCUGUCUCCCAGUGUUUCCUUGUUUUCUCAGUGGGUUUUUUUUAUUUAAAUCUUAUUCUGCACAUGGGUCCUCCUCUGUUUUUCCACAUUAACAAUGUUGAAGGACAUGCCAGCCCAGAAGCUAGCUCACAUUUUUCCUCAUAUGGAAAGUCUGUUUCACUCCGCUCUGCACUUGGUUGAUUCAGUUUCUCUCACAAAGUUGUUCAUAAGUGUUCUUUUGGUUGUAAAGGAAAGUCACAACUAUUUUCUCUUCCUAAAGACUAAGGCACCAGAAAACUGUAGGGAGUUUUUAUUAUUUUGGAACAACAACAGCUGUUUGUGUGCGCCACUUCCCUGAAAAUAAAGCCUAGAACAAGCUGGAUUUUCAUCUUCGGUGUUACUGAAACCUGGGGCUGAUCCAUCCAUAAAGACCGUCUAUGUAUGCUCUGGACAACAAGCUGAACUCUGACAUGACUGGAUCAUCAAUAACAACCAGCUGAAUCAUGGACGGAUUACUGAAAGGCUAAAUGGCUAAAGAAGAUGAAUUCUGAGAGUACAUCUAACCCCGCUGUCUGAAGCUUCUGCUGCCAUUUCCUCUUCUGAUCUCCACUUAGAGGGAACGUCCUCAUCUUCUUGAUCGUGCUUCUGCAGCUGCAACAAACAACAGUUUAAUAGUUAAAUGUCUGAUAGAAAAAGUAUUGAAUGUUAUGAGCCUGGCCUCAAGUAACUGUGUGGAAAAGUCCUCAGACUCUAAAUGGAGUGCAAGAUCAGAAUUGAAUUAAAGUUCCUGUUAUGUUA